This is a long non-coding RNA of Cyprinus carpio carpio, 2224 nucleotides long. NCBI's taxonomy places the organism in Eukaryota, Metazoa, Chordata, Actinopteri, Cypriniformes, Cyprinidae. The record is from Ensembl.
GUUUGACUCACUGAUCCAAUCGCAGUGGUUCACAGUUCACUGGAGCAAGGCAAUGGCUUAAGCUUCAGUCUGUUCUGUACUUAAAGCUAUUGUAUGGAUUCAGAAGACUUGGACUUUAGUCAUAAAUCUAUAGAGUCAUAUGGACUACUUUCAUGAUGCUUUGCUUAUGUCUUUGGUGAUUUUUGCAACUUAAGUGAGGUCAGCUGUCAUUGUAUAUUAAAACAACUUGAUUGAAGAUCUUUACAAGUUUGGAGCGACAAGAGUGUGUAAGACCUUGCUGCUGACUGAGACGGAGAUGAAAAGUGGAGACUAGCUGCUCUGCUGUCUCAGCACCUCGCCGGACUUGUUAGCUGUAAAAUGCUCUUCUCCACUGUGGAUGCAGUCCAGGGGCCGUGCUCUAAUAUCUGGGUGUCGCUGCAAGCUGGCCCCCACCGGACUGACCCGAUAAAUAAUUGCCGCACUGAGCCAGGGUCUAUUUUUAGAUGUGUGUUUAGGAUACUAAGGGCAAAUACUCUCCCUCUGUGUUGAGCCUGUAUUGAUCAGUGAGUUUGGCGUCUGGUGAAGAGACCACUGUGCCUCUAGGCUGAGAACCCUGUGGAGUCAUCAGUCAUAGCAGAGGACACAACAGCAAACAGGACACAGUAAGCACCCAAACCCUCUGGAGAUGAAUGUCUUGGCUGGGCUGAAAGCCCCCUGGAAAGAGACGGAGAACUACUUGGCACCCUGCAUCUAACUCAGACUUCUUGGAGGGUAUCUCUAUGCUGUGACAGCCUGAAUAUUGUUAACACACAAGACAUCACCUCAAGGACAACUGAGCUACUGCUCUUGGUUUAACCGCCUCAAAAAAGCAUGCACCUGCACAAAACUGAGAGGAAUACCAAUUAAGCAAUUACCAACAAGAAUCAGUAUUUUGGACCGCAGUGCUGUUUGUUUGGAAGUGAGCUGAUUGUACCUGUGCAGUGAUGUGGGCAAUUACCUGGUAUUGUUUUUCCUUGUAAUCAUUUUUUGUCUAUCUCUAGCCAAAUGUCUUUGGGCGUUAUGGCAGAAUGCAAACGUAGGCCAUUAAGAGUAUAAAGGCUGGGUGCAGAUCAAGGUCAGUCCAUCAGAGGCAAGAAGAACAUACUGCUGUAUAUAAAUCAGGAAACACAGAAUUUUAAAACAUUUUAUCUUAAUUUUCAUGCUGAGGAGACAGAGGAGCUUUGACACACAUUGUCAAAUGGCAUGUUUGCCACGCAUUGUUGUAUAGAUUCUAAUUUACGAAUGCCCUACACUUGUUAUUUUAUCCCCUAGCCCCUCCACGCAUGUCAAAAUGAAGGAAUGAAAGCAGACAGGCAGGGAGGAAAACAAAAAUUGGUUAAUAGCAAGGGGUCAAACUGUUAUUGUAUUAAAACUCUAUGAUGACAGGGGCUCUGCAGGUUGACACAUGGAGGAUGAAACAAGACCUAAAUGCCUGAAACAAUGUGUUUUAUGCAAGAUUACAAACCUAAAGGCUGAAACCGAAAAUAAAGUUUUCGAGAAUUUAGAGUCAACAGGGUCCUUCAAAUCAUUUUGUUGACAGCUGGAACAUUAUGUCCACUCCACAGUACAUCUAAAUCUGAAUGACUCACACUUUUUAAGGCAGUCUUCAUCAUCUCAAAGACGAAACACAAUCUAUUAUGCAUUGAAUUUAAUUAGUACAUCGAACACUGUUUUUGUUCAUUUCCCCCCAGGCAAUGCCAUCUGAAUAUUUUAAGUCAAACAAUUGUUAUAUUGGAGCAAAAAUAUAUAUUUAACAAACCUGUUGUGUUCAAUGAACUGACUGCUGAAAUACAACAUUAGGGAAAUUAAAGACUAAUGGUGGAAGCCAGAUAGCUGGACUGAACUAAUGACUUCAGGCCAUCACCUGACAGGCCAAAUAUGAGGAUAUUGAUUUGAAUCUAUAAGCAAUUUUAUAGGUGCCCAAUGCAUGCCAGAUUAGUAGCAAGAGUUUGAUCACAUUAGAUGCAGUCCAUUGACAUUAAGGACCUGGAAUCAUUAAGAGGAAUCAUUAAAUUGCUUUCGAUUCACAUCCCUAGAGUUAACUGGAGUUAAGAGGCCUAGCCAAACCUGUUAAUUACAAAGCCGGUUUCCAAUUAAUUUUCGCGACCAAAAACUCAGCAAAAUAUACACAGACACGACUUGCUGAAAAUGUCUAAAAAUAGCACAUCAGAAGGCAGACAACUUCUGUCUUUUCACCCAAAAUAAU